UCAACAGAAUGGAUGACACCCACCUGCAUUGGUGAGGGUGGGCAUCAUCCAGUAGAUGUACUCUGGUCUACUGAUUGAAAUGCUAAACUCUUCUGGAAACACCCUCACCUACACACCAGAAAUACCAUUUUACCAGCUAUCUAGGUAUCCCUUCACCCAAUCAGGUUGACACAAAACCAUCACAGGCUUCUCAGCUGUAAAUGGCCCUCCACACUUCAGUGUGCUGACCAGGACUGCAACUGCCGAUUGGGUUGCCACCUCAGGCUCUUGGGAUGUUUUAUAUGGAUAACUGGAUUUGGAUGUUGACAGCUUCCACCUCUAGCUGCGGAUGCCUGCCCCAGGUUGCUGGUGGAGAUCAAGUGAGAGAGUGGAUUGAAAACAUCUUUACAAAGGCCAGGUUUGGUUUUGGAUGUGGGUGCCAACUGCCUACCCUGAAGUCAAAGACCGUCUGGGAAGAGAAGUUCUCUUUGCCUUUCUCCCACGACGAGCGUGUUGCUGAGUUAUUUCCAGGAGCGUGGGGUGAGCCUCUUUGAUCUCAGGGUGCCAUUGCCUUCCCUGCCUCACUGUGAUCGGCUCAGCGUUCCCAAGCGGCCAGGGCGCUUCCCACUCAGCUGGGCAGCACCGCCCAAGCAUUUGGCAUUUGGGGAACAGAAAGUUUUUAUUUUUAUGAGCUGUUUCUGAGCAAUGCCUUGUUUUCUCCUGUCUGUUUCUAGGCCACAGGAUUGGCAGCUGCAUCCAACCUCCAGGUCAAAUUUGGCAGAGAACCAAGCAAUCCUGUCAAACAGAAUGCCCACUGCUGCUCCUUCCCAUCUCGAGGAACUGUCUCUUCUCAAUGUUUUCUUUUGAUUUCCUCUGACAGUCUUGCUGCUCUUCCAGAGGCACAGGAACUCAAAAUUGGGAAGGGUUUGAAGGUGACCCCCACGAUCAAGUGCAGUGCCUCCCGCACGCGUGACUUCCAGCCUCCACAUGCACACUUCCAAUAACUGCACACACACCCUCCAGCUCAGGCCUCUUGGAUUUCAGACACUCCAGUGGUUGAAGGGUCGCUAUGUUAGGAUCUCUGAUCUUCCUCUCUAACCAGGCUAUCCUCAGGUUCUAGUUCACUUCUGGGGGUCACCCUGAGCCAAUGUAACCCCUCUUUCCUGUGUCAAUCCUUUAGGUCUUUGAGAAGAGUGGUUGCGUUUUCUCUGACCGUGUCCCACCCUCUGGCCAAGCCUUCAGCUGAAAAGAGUCCCUCAGUUGGGGCGAGUGUAUUGAGUCCUUCAUUCAGAUGAACCCGAUACUUCAGGAGGGGCUGAGCAAUAGGCACUACAGGGGAGCCCUCACCUCCCUUGUUCUGUGCAUAAUACCUCUAUUAAUACAGCCUAAAUUUGGUCUUGCUGAUUUGGCAGCCACAUCACACUGUGCCCUUAGACUAAGUGACUGUGCUAAUAAUACACCAGACUUUUCAAGGUGUCUGUGCCUUUGGGGGUCAUGUCUGACACAUGUUAUAGAAGCAGAAACAGCCUACUAAACAAAUACUGCUGUUUUCAUAAAGUUAUGUUCUGGACCAAGAAAAUUGAGCUAUCAUUUACAAGUCCAGUGUCUCACCCUGUGCUAAGUGCUCGUAUGAGGCACUUUUGCAAUUUUACAAAUGGGAUAACUGAGGUCAGUCAGGGUAGAGCUACACAGCUACCAAGUGACAGCCAGGUGGCAAACCUAAGUUGAUUGAUUCCGAAGUCACCCUAAGUGACACUGCCUCCCUAUAGCCCCUGCUCCUUCACAUUCCCUGAGCCAGUCUCUAUCCCGCCUGUGAUUUCUUUCUCUCUCUGCUGUUUUGACAGUUAUUUGUUCCUCUGGUGAUUUGCCUGGUUAUUGCUAGACCAGCAGUUCUUAACAUGCAGUAUGAGGACUAUU
RNAcentral lists this long non-coding RNA (1896 nucleotides) under Homo sapiens (human). RNAcentral's name for it is "HSALNT0354296". The record is from RNAcentral. Lineage: Eukaryota; Metazoa; Chordata; Mammalia; Primates; Hominidae.